CCUACGGGAGGCAGCAGUGGGUAAUAUUGGGCAAUGGGCUUAAGCCUGAACCAGCAACGUCGCGUGAUGGAAGAAUGCCCUCUGGGUUGUAACCCUCUUUUGUCAGGGAGCAAUUGGCGCUACGUGUAGCGUUAUCGAGAGUACCUGAAGAAAAAGCAUCGGCUAACUCCGUGCCAGCAGCCGCGGUAAUACGGAGGAUGCGAGCGUUAUCCGGAUUUAUUGGGUUUAAAGGGUGAGUAGGCGGAAUGCCAAGUCAGCGGUAAAAGCGCGGGGCUCAACCUCGCUCCGCCGUUGAAACUGGCGUUCUUGAGUGGGCGAGAAGUAUGCGGAAUGCGUGGUGUAGCGGUGAAAUGCAUAGAUAUCACGCAGAACUCCGAUUGCGAAGGCAGCAUACCGGCGCCCAACUGACGCUGAAGCACGAAAGCGUGGGUAUCGAACAGGAUUAGAUACCCCGGUAGUC
This 460-nucleotide ribosomal RNA is filed under the name uncultured bacterium. RNAcentral's name for it is "partial 16S ribosomal RNA". It matches the Rfam family "Bacterial small subunit ribosomal RNA", at positions 338 to 795 of the family's 1533-position model. The record is from RNAcentral.